GGGAAAUCUAGAGCUAAUACAUGCAAAAGAGAAUUCUUUGAAAAAAGGAAUGCAUAUAUUAGAUACAAAUCCAAAAUACAAAGGUGAAUCAUAAUAUUUAUAGCAAAUCAUAUGGGGAAGUAAUUCCUGUGAUGAUAAACCGAUCAAAUUUCUGCCCUAUCAUACUUUGGACGGUAAUGUAGUGGAUUACGGUGGUGAUGACGGGUAACGGAGAAUUAGGGUUUGAUUCCGGAGAGGGAGCAUGAGAAAUGGCUACCACUUCCAAGGAAGGCAGCAGGCGCGUAAAUUACCCAAUCCUAAAACAGGGAGGUAGUGACGAUAAAAUAACAAUGAUUCAAUGAUAACAAAGUUGAAUUAAAUUGGAAUGAGGAACAAUAUAAAUCCCUUAUCGAGUAACAAUUUCAGGGCAAGUUCUGGUGCCAGCAGCCGCGGUAAUUCCAGCUGAAAAGCGUAUACGAAUAUGUUGCAGUUAAAACGACUCGUAGUUGG
Molecule: ribosomal RNA, 489 nt
Filed under: uncultured eukaryote
Lineage: Eukaryota
Description: bacterial SSU rRNA
Rfam family: Eukaryotic small subunit ribosomal RNA
Source: RNAcentral